RNAcentral lists this ribosomal RNA (1228 nucleotides) under Hemigrammocypris neglecta (neglected bitterling). RNAcentral's name for it is "partial 16S ribosomal RNA". It matches the Rfam family "Bacterial large subunit ribosomal RNA", at positions 696 to 2561 of the family's 2925-position model. The record is from RNAcentral. Lineage: Eukaryota; Metazoa; Chordata; Actinopteri; Cypriniformes; Xenocyprididae.
AGACCUUUAGUUUGAAACCCCGAAACCAGGUGAGCUACCCCGAGACAGCCUAUUUAAAUUUAGGGCUAACCCGUCUCUGUGGCAAAAGAGUGGGAAGAGCUCCGGGUAGAAGUGACAGACCUACCGAACCUGGUGAUAGCUGGUUGCCUGAGAAAUGGAUAGAAGUUCAGCCUCGUACACCCCAAAUCAUAAAAGUAUAUAAUAAAGACAAUUAAGGGAAAAAUACGAGAGUUAGUUAAAGGGGGUACAGCCCCUCUAACAAAGGAUACAACCUUAACAGGAGGAUAAAGAUCAUAAUACAUAAAACAUACUGUUUUAGUGGGCCUAAAAGCAGCCAUCUAAAUAGAAAGCGUUAAAGCUCGGACAGACAAAAGUUUAUUAUACUGAUAAAAAAAUCUUAUUCCCCUAACAAUAUUAGGCUAACCCAUGCCCGCAUGGAAGAAAUUAUGCUAAAAUGAGUAACAAGAAGAAUUGCUCUUCUCCGGGCACAAGUGUAGACCAGAUCGGACCAACCACUGGAAAUUAACGAACCCAGCCCAAGAGGGUAAUGUGAACAACAAAAAAACCAAGAAGAACUCACAACAAAUUAAUCGUUAACCCCACACUGGAGUGCCACCUUUAAAGGAAAGACUAAAAGAAAGGGAAGGAACUCGGCAAACACAAGCCUCGCCUGUUUACCAAAAACAUCGCCUCCUGCAACUAAACUGAGUAUAGGAGGUCCAGCCUGCCCAGUGACUACGGGUUCAACGGCCGCGGUAUUUUGACCGUGCAAAGGUAGCGCAAUCACUUGUCUUUUAAAUAGAGACCUGUAUGAAUGGCUAAACGAGGGCUUAACUGUCUCCCCCUUCAAGUCAGUGAAAUUGAUCUAUCCGUGCAGAAGCGGGUAUAAAUAUACAAGACGAGAAGACCCUUUGGAGCUUAAGGUACAAAAUUUAACCACAUUAAGCAACUCAAUAAAAAGCAAAAAAUUAGUGGGAAUGAAGUUUUACCUUCGGUUGGGGCGACCACGGAGGAAAAACGAUCCUCCGAGUGGAAUGGGCUAAACCCCUAAAACUAAGAGAAACAUCUCUAAGCCGCAGAACAUCUGACCAAAUAUGAUCCGGCUAAUAAGGCCGAUCAACGAACCAAGUUACCCUAGGGAUAACAGCGCAAUCCUCUCCCAGAGUCCAUAUCGACGAGGGGGUUUACGACCUCGAUGUUGGAUCAGGACAUCCUAAUGGUGCAGCCG